This 164-nucleotide ribosomal RNA is filed under the name uncultured bacterium. RNAcentral describes it as "partial 16S rRNA". It matches the Rfam family "Bacterial small subunit ribosomal RNA", at positions 355 to 511 of the family's 1533-position model. The record is from RNAcentral.
UAGGGAACCUUCCACAAUGGACGAAAGUCUGAUGGAGCAACGCCGCGUGAGUGAAGAAGGUUUUCGGAUCGUAAAGCUCUGUUGUUGGUGAAGAAGGAUAGAGGCAGUAACUGGUCUUUAUUUGACGGUAAUCAACCAGAAAGUCACGGCUAACUACGUGCCAG